GUGGGGAAUAUUGGACAAUGGGCGAAAGCCUGAUCCAGCCAUGCCGCGUGUGUGAAGAAGGUCUUCGGAUUGUAAAGCACUUUAAGUUGGGAGGAAGGGCAGUAAGUUAAUACCUUGCUGUUUUGACGUUACCGACAGAAUAAGCACCGGCUAACUUCGUGCCAGCAGCCGCGGUAAUACGAAGGGUGCAAGCGUUAAUCGGAAUUACUGGGCGUAAAGCGCGCGUAGGUGGUUUUGUAAGUUGGAGGUGAAAUCCCCGGGCUCAACCUGGGAACUGCCUCCAAAACUGCAUGACUAGAGUACGGUAGAGGGUAGUGGAAUUUCCUGUGUAGCGGUGAAAUGCGUAGAUAUAGGAAGGAACACCAGUGGCGAAGGCGACUACCUGGACUGAUACUGACACUGAGGUGCGAAAGCGUGGGAAGCAAACAGGAUUAGAAACCCUGGUAGUCC
This 450-nucleotide ribosomal RNA is filed under the name uncultured bacterium. Its description in RNAcentral is "bacterial SSU rRNA". It matches the Rfam family "Bacterial small subunit ribosomal RNA", at positions 354 to 796 of the family's 1533-position model. The record is from RNAcentral.